AGAGUUUGAUCCUGGCUCAGAACGAACGCUGGCGGCAGGCCUAACACAUGCAAGUCGAACGGGCCCUUUCGGGGGUCAGUGGCAGACGGGUGAGUAACACGUGGGAACGUGCCCAUCGGUUCGGAAUAACCCAGGGAAACUUGGGCUAAGACCGGAUACGUGCGAGAGCAGAAAGAUUUAUCGCCGAUGGAUCGGCCCGCGUCUGAUUAGCUAGUUGGUGAGGUAAUGGCUCACCAAGGCGACGAUCAGUAGCUGGUCUGAGAGGAUGAUCAGCCACACUGGGACUGAGACACGGCCCAGACUCCUACGGGAGGCAGCAGUGGGGAAUAUUGGACAAUGGGCGCAAGCCUGAUCCAGCCAUGCCGCGUGAGUGAUGAAGGCCCUAGGGUUGUAAAGCUCUUUCGCACGCGACGAUAAUGACGGUAGCGUGAGAAGAAGCCCCGGCUAACUUCGUGCCAGCAGCCGCGGUAAUACGAAGGGGGCUAGCGUUGUUCGGAAUCACUGGGCGUAAAGGGCGCGUAGGCGGCCGUUCAAGUCGGGGGUGAAAGCCUGUGGCUCAACCACAGAAUUGCCUUCGAUACUGGACGGCUCGAGACCGGAAGAGGUGAGUGGAACUGCGAGUGUAGAGGUGAAAUUCGUAGAUAUUCGCAAGAACACCAGUGGCGAAGGCGGCUCACUGGUCCGGUUCUGACGCUGAGGCGCGAAAGCGUGGGGAGCAAGCAGGAUUAGAUACCCUAGUAGUCC
RNAcentral lists this ribosomal RNA (744 nucleotides) under uncultured bacterium. RNAcentral's name for it is "bacterial SSU rRNA". It matches the Rfam family "Bacterial small subunit ribosomal RNA", at positions 8 to 796 of the family's 1533-position model. The record is from RNAcentral.